UGCCAGCCGCCGCGGUAAUACGGAGGGUGCAAGCGUUAAUCGGAAUUACUGGGCGUAAAGCGCGCGUAGGCGGUUUUGUAAGUCGGAUGUGAAAUCCCCGGGCUUAACCUGGGAACUGCACUCGAUACUGCAUAACUAGAGUAUGGUAGAGGGAAGUGGAAUUUCCGGUGUAGCGGUGAAAUGCGUAGAUAUCGGAAGGAACACCAGUGGCGAAGGCGGCUAACUGGCUCGGUACUGACGCUGAGAUGCGAAAGCGCGGGGAGCAAACAGGAUUAGAUA
This 279-nucleotide ribosomal RNA is filed under the name uncultured bacterium. RNAcentral describes it as "partial 16S ribosomal RNA". It matches the Rfam family "Bacterial small subunit ribosomal RNA", at positions 506 to 784 of the family's 1533-position model. The record is from RNAcentral.